RNAcentral lists this transfer RNA (62 nucleotides) under Heterostomus curvipalpis. Its description in RNAcentral is "tRNA-Thr". It matches the Rfam family "tRNA". From Rfam's summary of the family: Transfer RNA (tRNA) molecules are approximately 80 nucleotides in length. Their secondary structure includes four short double-helical elements and three loops (D, anti-codon, and T loops). Further hydrogen bonds mediate the characteristic L-shaped molecular structure. tRNAs have two regions of fundamental functional importance: the anti-codon, which is responsible for specific mRNA codon recognition, and the 3' end, to which the tRNAs corresponding amino acid is attached (by aminoacyl-tRNA synthetases). tRNAs cope with the degeneracy of the genetic code in two manners: having more than one tRNA (with a specific anti-codon) for a particular amino acid; and 'wobble' base-pairing, i.e. permitting non-standard base-pairing at the 3rd anti-codon position. The record is from RNAcentral. Lineage: Eukaryota; Metazoa; Arthropoda; Insecta; Diptera; Xylophagidae.
GUUUUAAUAGUUUAACAAAAACAUUGGUCUUGUAAACCAAAAAUAAGAUUUUUCCUUUUAAA